CCUACGGGGGGCUGCAGUGGGGAAUAUUGGACAAUGGGGGGAACCCUGAUCCAGCCAUGCCGCGUGUGUGAAGAAGGCCCUCGGGUUGUAAAGCACUUUCAGUGAGGAAGAACGCCUGGUGGUUAAUACCCAUCAGGAAAGACAUCACUCACAGAAGAAGCACCGGCUAACUCCGUGCCAGCAGCCGCGGUAAUACGGAGGGUGCGAGCGUUAAUCGGAAUUACUGGGCGUAAAGCGCGCGUAGGUGGCUUGAUAAGCCGGUUGUGAAAGCCCCGGGCUCAACCUGGGAACGGCAUCCGGAACUGUCAAGCUAGAGUGCAGGAGAGGAAGGUAGAAUUCCCGGUGUAGCGGUGAAAUGCGUAGAGAUAGGGAGGAAUACCAGUGGCGAAGGCGGCCUUCUGGACUGACACUGACGCUGAGGUGCGAAAGCGUGGGUAGCAAACAGGAUUAGAUACCCGAGUAGUC
RNAcentral lists this ribosomal RNA (465 nucleotides) under Vreelandella stevensii. RNAcentral describes it as "partial 16S ribosomal RNA". It matches the Rfam family "Bacterial small subunit ribosomal RNA", at positions 338 to 795 of the family's 1533-position model. Lineage: Bacteria; Pseudomonadati; Pseudomonadota; Gammaproteobacteria; Oceanospirillales; Halomonadaceae. The record is from RNAcentral.